This 253-nucleotide ribosomal RNA is filed under the name uncultured bacterium. Its description in RNAcentral is "partial 16S ribosomal RNA". It matches the Rfam family "Bacterial small subunit ribosomal RNA", at positions 524 to 776 of the family's 1533-position model. The record is from RNAcentral.
UACGGGGGGGGCAAGCGUUGCUCGGAAUUACUGGGCGUAAAGGGCUCGUAGGCGGCCCUCUCAGUCGGAUGUGAAAUCCCCAGGCUCAACUUGGGAACUGCGUCUGAUACUGGAUGGCUUGAAUCCGGGAGAGGGGUGCAGAAUUCCAGGUGUAGCGGUGAAAUGCGUAGAUAUCUGGAGGAACACCGGUGGCGAAGGCGGCAUCCUGGACCGGCAUUGACGCUGAGGCGCGAAAGCCAGGGGAGCAAACGGG